This 485-nucleotide ribosomal RNA is filed under the name Echinopsolus charcoti. RNAcentral's name for it is "Psolus charcoti partial 16S ribosomal RNA". It matches the Rfam family "Bacterial large subunit ribosomal RNA", at positions 1813 to 2566 of the family's 2925-position model. The record is from RNAcentral. Lineage: Eukaryota; Metazoa; Echinodermata; Holothuroidea; Dendrochirotida; Cucumariidae.
ACAUAGCCCCUCGUAUACAUAAGGGGUGAAGCCUGCCCAAUGGAACAAUCUAAAUGGCCGCGGUAUCUUAACCGUGCAAAGGUAGCAUAAUCAUUUGUCUUUUAAAUAAAGACUUGUAUGAAUGGCACAACAUUUUCUAACUGUCUCCUCUCUUUUCCACUCAAACUUCUAUUAACGUGAAGAAGCGUUCAUUAAAAAGAAAGACGAGAAGACCCUGUCGAGCUUAAGCUCCUUUUAAAAUAAUAAAGCCUUUAAAGACUAUUCAAUUCUAACAGAAGCUUUGGUUGGGGCAACCAUGGAGAAAAAUUAACCUCCAAAAAUUAAAAAGAUAUUUAAUCCUUUUUAUAAUAAAGAACCAUAAAUAAUGAUAAAUAGAAACAGUUACCGCAGGGAUAACAGCGUCAUUUCCUUUAAGAGUUCAUAUUGACAAGGAAGAUUGCGACCUCGAUGUUGGAUUGGGGCUACCAAAGGGUGUAGCAGCUCUC